This 728-nucleotide ribosomal RNA is filed under the name uncultured Staphylococcus sp. RNAcentral's name for it is "bacterial SSU rRNA". It matches the Rfam family "Bacterial small subunit ribosomal RNA", at positions 69 to 780 of the family's 1533-position model. The record is from RNAcentral. Lineage: Bacteria; Bacillati; Bacillota; Bacilli; Caryophanales; Staphylococcaceae.
ACGGACGAGAAGCUUGCUUCUCUGAUGUUAGCGGCGGACGGGUGAGUAACACGUGGAUAACCUACCUAUAAGACUGGGAUAACUUCGGGAAACCGGAGCUAAUACCGGAUAAUAUUUUGAACCGCAUGGUUCAAAAGUAAAAGACGGUCUUGCUGUCACUUAUAGAUGGAUCCGCGCUGCAUUAGCUAGUUGGUAAGGUAACGGCUUACCAAGGCAACGAUGCAUAGCCGACCUGAGAGGGUGAUCGGCCACACUGGAACUGAGACACGGUCCAGACUCCUACGGGAGGCAGCAGUAGGGAAUCUUCCGCAAUGGGCGAAAGCCUGACGGAGCAACGCCGCGUGAGUGAUGAAGGUCUUCGGAUCGUAAAACUCUGUUAUUAGGGAAGAACAUAUGUGUAAGUAACUGUGCACAUCUUGACGGUACCUAAUCAGAAAGCCACGGCUAACUACGUGCCAGCAGCCGCGGUAAUACGUAGGUGGCAAGCGUUAUCCGGAAUUAUUGGGCGUAAAGCGCGCGUAGGCGGUUUUUUAGGUCUGAUGUGAAAGCCCACGGCUCAACCGUGGAGGGUCAUUGGAAACUGGAAAACUUGAGUGCAGAAGAGGAAAGUGGAAUUCCAUGUGUAGCGGUGAAAUGCGCAGAGAUAUGGAGGAACACCAGUGGCGAAGGCGACUUUCUGGUCUGUAACUGACGCUGAUGUGCGAAAGCGUGGGGAUCAAACAGGAUUA